RNAcentral lists this ribosomal RNA (451 nucleotides) under Salmonella enterica subsp. enterica serovar Enteritidis. RNAcentral's name for it is "partial 23S ribosomal RNA". It matches the Rfam family "Bacterial large subunit ribosomal RNA", at positions 111 to 603 of the family's 2925-position model. The record is from RNAcentral. Lineage: Bacteria; Pseudomonadati; Pseudomonadota; Gammaproteobacteria; Enterobacterales; Enterobacteriaceae.
UACCCGAAUGGGGAAACCCAGUGUGAUUCGUCACACUAUCAUUAACUGAAUCCAUAGGUUAAUGAGGCGAACCGGGGGAACUGAAACAUCUAAGUACCCCGAGGAAAAGAAAUCAACCGAGAUUCCCCCAGUAGCGGCGAGCGAACGGGGAGGAGCCCAGAGCCUGAAUCAGCAUGUGUGUUAGUGGAAGCGUCUGGAAAGGCGCGCGAUACAGGGUGACAGCCCCGUACACAAAAGCGCAUGUGCUGUGAGCUCGAUGAGUAGGGCGGGACACGUGGUAUCCUGUCUGAAUAUGGGGGGACCAUCCUCCAAGGCUAAAUACUCCUGACUGACCGAUAGUGAACCAGUACCGUGAGGGAAAGGCGAAAAGAACCCCGGCGAGGGGAGUGAAAAAGAACCUGAAACCGUGUACGUACAAGCAGUGGGAGCACCCUUUGGGUGUGACUGCGUA